GCGGCUCAAAAGACAAGAGUAGUCCGUCGUACGACUUCGGGCGUCGACGCAUUUCCCACGCGACCACCUGUUGGUCUUACGCCAGACGAGCCGUCGACCACCAUCCCAUCUAACCCUACGCAUCCCUUGCACUGAUCAUAAUAGAAACCGGGGAGGGCGAGAGGCAGAUCAUUUAGGGAGGGAGAGAGAGAACGAGAGGAAUUCUCCACCUCCGCUCGAUUCCUCUCCUCAAGCUCCUCUUCGUGAGCGAGCGAGAGGAAUUCUCCACCUCUGUUGGAUUCUCCUCGAUUUCCUCUUCGUCAGAGAGAGAGAGAGAGAGAGGAUUCUCCACCUCCAUUCGACUCCUCUCCUUAAGGCUCCUCUUCUUCGUCUUCCUUCCUUGUCCACCUACUUUCCUCACCGAGAAGGCAAAUGGCGUUAGCAGCAGCGGCGGCGGGGUAUGUGACUAUGAGGGCGGAGA
This 460-nucleotide long non-coding RNA is filed under the name Musa acuminata (dwarf banana). RNAcentral describes it as "long non-coding RNA (MACU_LNC000318)". The record is from RNAcentral. Lineage: Eukaryota; Viridiplantae; Streptophyta; Magnoliopsida; Zingiberales; Musaceae.